Molecule: unclassified non-coding RNA, 157 nt
Filed under: Phaeovulum vinaykumarii
Lineage: Bacteria; Pseudomonadati; Pseudomonadota; Alphaproteobacteria; Rhodobacterales; Paracoccaceae
Description: Rhodobacter vinaykumarii 6S / SsrS RNA
Rfam family: 6S / SsrS RNA
About the family: E. coli 6S RNA was the first non coding RNA to be sequenced, but its function was unknown until recently. It consists of 184 nucleotides that fold into an extended hairpin structure with a large single-stranded internal bulge. The 6S RNA specifically associates with RNA polymerase holoenzyme containing the sigma70 specificity factor.
Source: Rfam by way of RNAcentral
AGGUUUCUGCUCUUCUCGUGCGCGGCCCUAUUCCGGUGGCCGAUAAGCUUUCCGAGGGGGCUGGCUCUGGCGGGAUCCUGGUCUCGUUAUCUGGCGCCCACCUGAUAUGUUCAGGCUCUCGGGAAUUUCACGCCGACACGGAUGCUGCGGUUCCUGC